GAAACACGGACCAAGGAGUCUAGCAUGUGCGCGAGUCAUUGGGACACAACUAAACCCAUAGGCACAAUGAAAGUGACAGUCCGGCGCUCGCCGCCGGACGACGGAGGAUGGGCUCGUGCCGAUUAAAACCCGGCCGGCCCCGCACUCCGGGGGCGUCCCGAUCUCAUCGCGAGAUGGGGCGCACCAUGAGCGUACACGCUGGGACCCGAAAGAUGGUGAACUAUGCCUGGUCAGGACGAAGUCAGGGGAAACCCUGAUGGAGGUCCGUAGCGAUUCUGACGUGCAAAUCGAUCGUCGGAACUGGGUAUAGGGGCGAAAGACUAAUCGAACCAUCUAGUAGCUGGUUCCCUCCGAAGUUUCCCUCAGGAUAGCUGGCGCUCGUAGCGCACGAGUCUCAUCCGGUAAAGCGAAUGAUUAGAGGCAUUGGGGUCGAAACGGCCUCAACCUAUUCUCAAACUUUAAAUGGGUGAGAUCUCCGGCUUGCUCGAACUAUUUUAGAUGAAGCCGCGAGAUUCGGAUCAGAGUGCCAAGUGGGCCAUUUUUGGUAAGCAGAACUGGCGCUGUGGGAUGAACCAAACGUCGAGUUAAAGCGCCUAAAUCGACGCUCAUGGGACACCAUGAAAGGCGUUGGUAACUUAAGACAGCAGGACGGUGGCCAUGGAAGUCGGAAUCCGCUAA
RNAcentral lists this ribosomal RNA (678 nucleotides) under Kolibacia tibialis. Its description in RNAcentral is "partial 28S ribosomal RNA". It matches the Rfam family "Eukaryotic large subunit ribosomal RNA", at positions 656 to 1274 of the family's 3401-position model. The record is from RNAcentral. Lineage: Eukaryota; Metazoa; Arthropoda; Insecta; Coleoptera; Trogossitidae.